GUGUGUUAUUCCUCUCAAAGAGUAAGUAUUACACCAGAUAGCAUAUACAGUAGCCUUUAAGAGCAUCUGGUAUACAGAGUAGCCUACAAUUACGCAUUGGCUUGGCAGCACAGUCUUGUGUUAUCCAGAGUUCUCAGUGUCAUACAAGGCAAUACAUGAGUCAAAUACCUUUUUGAAGGGAGAUACAGUCUUUAUUGUUACAAGCCGAGGGUAAAGCGUGUGUGUGUGUGAACAUUACUGAACCUGGACAGCAUGAGUAUCUCACCCCUUUCCUUUUCAGAUUCCUAAAAAGUAAGUUAUAUUCACUCACUGUAAUACACUUUGGAUGACAGUUAAAUUAUAUUAUAAUAUCCCUUCUAUUGAAAAAAAGUAAACAUUUUCUCUAAGUAGCCUACAUAAUAUCCUGAAAUGCACUUUUCACCUCCUGAAAUGCACUUUUCAUGUCAUCAGGGACAUGCCGUCAUCAGCAGAUCUAAGCGUUGAAAGCCCAAUCUUCUUUCAACAAUGUCUCAAAACGGGCUGCACCCACUCCACACCUGUUGUCGCCUUAGGAUGACACCAUAGAGAAGAAACUGAGUUUUGGAUUGAAGGAGAUGAUUCAGGAGAGUGAAAAAGAGGUGGAAAAGGGAAGGAGGAAAUGGAAAAGAAAAAGGAGGAGAGAGAAAGGAAGUACAUGGAGAAGAUGAGAGAGUGAGAAGGAUAAUGGAAGGCGGGGAGUAGAGAACAAAGGAAGAGAAAGAAGUAUAUGGAGAAGAGGAUGAAGAAGGAAAUGGAGCAGAGCAGAUGAGAGAGUGAGAAGGAUAAUGGAAGGCAGGGAGUAGAGAACAAAGGAAGAGAAAGAAGUACAUGGAGAAGAGGGUGAAGAAGGAAAUGGAGCAGAUGAGAGAGUGAGAAGGAUAAUGGAAGGCGGGGAGUAGAGAACAAAGGAAGAGAAGGAAGUAUAUGAGGAGGCAUUAAUGGAGCUGGAGAACGACCAAAAAAGACUGGAAAGUGUAAUACAGAAUCUGGGGGAUGUGAUGGACAGCGUAGCGAUGGCAAGCGAUUCCCCCAGAAAGAGCAAAGAGAGAGCAGGAGGACGAUAAAAUAAAUGCAGGAUGAGAGGAGGGAGUUGAAGACUUUUCAAGAAAAAGUGCAAGAAAACAGGAUGGAAAAUACAGAUUUCCAGAUAGAUUUCCUGACCUCAUCAAAGGGGAGUAGGAUGGAGGAGUGCAUGCACACACACACACACACACACACAAGCUAGUACUUUUCUAAAAUGUCUUAGUGAAAAACUCAAAUUCAAAUAAAGUCAUGCAAUGGCAAAGCGGUUGUGUUUUGGUCCUUAGUGUAAUGCCACCUUAGCUUUAGAGGUUAUAGUAAGGUAAGAAACACAGCAAAUUCCUCUAGGUAUUUGAAAUUAUAUCCAUUUAAUUUUGAUAUUAUGGAAUCUGGUUGGUUUCAAUCCAUAUCGCAGAAGUAUCACAGAAGAUCUGCAUUAUAGCUUGAUUGAAAUUUAAAGGCAAUUGUUACGGUAAACUCUGCAUAUGACGGCUCAAUUGGAAAUGACCUUUACAUUUUAACGCGGCUCUUCUGGGAUACGGAUUGAAUCCAGUCCUUAAACAGCAUAUGCUGAGGAGAGGAGAGGCCUUCCGCACCUUACAGUACAUAUGUUAUGCAGCACUUACUGUAGGCAAAAGCAAGAGUCAAAACAGUCAAUCUACCGUUACUGACAACACAGAUUCAAAGGCAUUGGGCGCUAAAAGCUAAAUAACAAUGCAUUUCAUUUACUAUUCCACUGAUGCAAAAUAAAGCAAUGUUUUCUUGUUGUUAGGGCAGACAUUUGUGCAGACUCAGACUGUUCUCAUAUUAUUACACUGUACAAUCAAGACCCUGAAAACCUAGAAGAGAUGAUGGAUUCAAAAAUAUAUAAUACAUUGUAAUGGUUUCAAAAUGGUUGUUUUUGUAAAUGAAUAGGCACAUCUGCAAGGCAACAAUAAAGAAACAAUUUAAAAUACUAAAACAACCCCCAAAAUGGCACCAAAUAUAACAGAAUGUC
Long non-coding RNA from Oncorhynchus tshawytscha (Chinook salmon), 2035 nucleotides. RefSeq lists it as uncharacterized. NCBI's taxonomy places the organism in Eukaryota, Metazoa, Chordata, Actinopteri, Salmoniformes, Salmonidae. The transcript has 2 exons. The record is from RefSeq and is a predicted model, not a curated record.